GAUGAAGAACGCAGCGAAAUGCGAUAAGUAAUGUGAAUUGCAGAAUUCAGUGAAUCAUCGAAUCUUUGAACGCACAUUGCGCCCGCCAGUAUUCUGGCGGGCAUGCCUGUUCGAGCGUCAUUUCAACCAUCAAGCCCCAGGCUUGUGUUGGAGCCCUGCGGCUGCCGCAGCCUCCCAAAACCAGUGGCGGGCUCGCUAUCACACCGAGUGCAGUAGUUUACUCUUCGCUCAGGGCGUGUGGCGGGUGCUAGCCGUAAAACCCCCAACUUCUCACGGUUGACCUCGGAUCAGGUAGGAAUACCCGCUGAACUUAAGCAUAUCAAUAAGCGGAGGA
Molecule: unclassified non-coding RNA, 334 nt
Filed under: soil metagenome
Description: partial contains 5.8S ribosomal RNA, internal transcribed spacer 2, and large subunit ribosomal RNA
Rfam family: 5.8S ribosomal RNA (bases 1-120)
Source: RNAcentral